CCUACGGGUGGCAGCAGUGGGGAAUAUUGCACAAUGGGGGAAACCCUGAUGCAGCGACGCCGCGUGAAGGAAGAAGUAUUUCGGUAUGUAAACUUCUAUCAGCAGGGAAGCAAAUGGCGGUACCUGACUAAGAAGCCCCGGCUAACUACGUGCCAGCAGCCGCGGUAACACGUCGGGGGCAAGCGUUAUCCGGAUUUACUGGGUGUAAAGGGAGCGUAGGCGGGGAUGCAAGUCAGAAGUGAAAGCCCGGGGGUCAACUCCGGGACUGCUUUUGAAACUGUAUGGCUAGAUUGCAGGAGAGGCAAGUGGAAUGCGUGGUGUAGCGGUGAAAUGCGUAGAUAUUAGGAGGAACACCAGUGGCGAAGGCGGCUUGCUGGACUGUAAAUGACGCUGAGGCUCGAAAGCGUGGGGAGCAAACAGGAUUAGAUACCCUUGUAGUC
This 440-nucleotide ribosomal RNA is filed under the name uncultured bacterium. Its description in RNAcentral is "partial 16S ribosomal RNA". It matches the Rfam family "Bacterial small subunit ribosomal RNA", at positions 338 to 795 of the family's 1533-position model. The record is from RNAcentral.